This 301-nucleotide ribosomal RNA is filed under the name uncultured bacterium. Its description in RNAcentral is "partial 16S ribosomal RNA". It matches the Rfam family "Bacterial small subunit ribosomal RNA", at positions 509 to 808 of the family's 1533-position model. The record is from RNAcentral.
CAGCAGCCACGGUAAUACGUAGGUCCCGAGCGUUGUCCGGAUUUAUUGGGCGUAAAGCGAGCGCAGGCGGUUAGAUAAGUCUGAAGUUAAAGGCUGUGGCUUAACCAUAGUACGCUUUGGAAACUGUUUAACUUGAGUGCAAGAGGGGAGAGUGGAAUUCCAUGUGUAGCGGUGAAAUGCGUAGAUAUAUGGAGGAACACCGGUGGCGAAAGCGGCUCUCUGGCUUGUAACUGACGCUGAGGCUCGAAAGCGUGGGGAGCAAACAGGAUUAGAUACCCCAGUAGUCCCUGUCUCUUAUACC